This is a long non-coding RNA of Acipenser ruthenus (sterlet), 798 nucleotides long. RefSeq lists it as uncharacterized. The transcript is spliced from 3 exons. The record is from RefSeq and is a predicted model, not a curated record. Lineage: Eukaryota; Metazoa; Chordata; Actinopteri; Acipenseriformes; Acipenseridae.
CACUGUGAAGAGGUAGUUUGCGUUAAUGGCGACAGGGUGGGAGAACAUUUCUUUAACUCUGGUGGAUGGACAAGUUUUGUCAAUUUAUAUAUAUAUAUUUUUAAAAAGAAGCCGAAACAGUUACUUCAGUUGCAGACUUCUAGAAGCUGUGGAGCGCUGAAAGCAAAGUGUAACGUCGAGGUAGCAGGUGUCACUGUGACGAAGGCAGUGAACUCGAGUCCAGGAAAUACGGAUGGGUCUGUAAUCCCCACAGCUCGGAGAGCUAACACGUGUCUGAGCAAGUGGACCGCUUGUAUAAAGGGUCAUGUGUUGGGUUUUAAGCAACACAUGCAAAGAUAAAUGCAAAUGAUUCCCAGGGCUUAAAGAACUGAGCUACAAGGACAGGCUGCAAGAACUGAAUCUAUUUAGCCUGGAACAGAGAGCUGGGGGGACAUGACUGAAGUCUUUAAACUAUUAAAAAGAGUUGACAUGCUUUAAUCGCAGUACAGAAGCCAGGACCAGAGGACACAGCUGGAAACGAAGUGGGAGAUUCUGUUUAACAUGUUAGCAGAAACCCCUGACGAUGCUAACAAAUGGAAAAACACAUUCCAGUAACACUCCCCGUUGUUAUACAAUACAGGACAGAAGUUGAAACAGCUGUUGAGUUGGCACUAGAGGGAGCAAGCAGAUCAUCAUUUUGAAAGAGCUAAUAGAUUCAGCAUAGUCUUAUAAUAGUAACAAUUGCUGUAAAAACAAUUGUUUUACCUGUAGGGAGCUACGUCUUUAAAAGAAUGUUGUCAAUAAUGUUGUCAUAUCAAA